Molecule: long non-coding RNA, 561 nt
Organism: Mesocricetus auratus (golden hamster)
Lineage: Eukaryota; Metazoa; Chordata; Mammalia; Rodentia; Cricetidae
Exons: 3
Source: RefSeq, a predicted model, not a curated record
CAGGACAGAUCUGCUUAGCUGGGUAUAAAGCCCAUGUCUUGUCUUCUAACUGUGCUGGCUUGUUUUCCUUCGCUCAUAGGCAAGGAUGGACAUUCUGCCAGGCCUUCAUCUCCUUCCUGGAGUAGAGGGGGAGUUCCUGAGCAACAUGGUGACCCAGAUUGGACUUCACCAGGACUGAAGAUGACCUAAACAACAGGAUUUGGUGAACAAUUCUUGGCCAACCAAUCACUUGCCUUAAGGAUGCCAAGGUCACAACCUCAUAACCAAGAUGACCAGCUCCACCCACAGUAUUCCUUUAUCUGAUGAUACCCUGAGUGUCCCAGGACUCUGCCAGAAAUCAUCCUGUCACCAUCUGGGGAUCCAGGUCUGUGGACUAGAACAAACCUCUUUUCUUUAUCAGUCAUCCAGUCUUGCCCCAUUUUCAAUUUGAAUAUAAAGAAGUUCAGACAUUGCUAACUUGCCCACAGACACAGAGUUCAGGCAAAAGAGACCUAACUUUGGAAACUGUUUGAAUUAGCUGUUUCCCUGUUACUGUAAUAAAAAUAUCCUGACACAAAUCAA